Molecule: non-coding RNA, 384 nt
Organism: Pelobates cultripes (western spadefoot toad)
Lineage: Eukaryota; Metazoa; Chordata; Amphibia; Anura; Pelobatidae
Source: the annotation of a GenBank genome assembly
CUUAACCAUAGCAGUGCCCAUCCUUUGUAGGUAAACCUCAUUGUUAAAACUUAAAUAAUUAUGUGUGAGGAUGAAUAGGGCCAGUUCUGUGAUAAUUUGUGACUGUAUUUUUGGUUGUUGGCAUAAGAGAGGAAAUAGAAGCAAGCAAUGAUGCCAUCUGUAUGUGGAAUGUGGUUGUACAGAGAUUCCACAUCCAUGGUUACAAGGAUAGUGUUAGCAGGGAGAUUGGUGAUUUGACUGAGUUUGUUGAGGAUGUCGGCUGUGUCUUUAAUGAAGCUGUUGGUGACUAGAGGUUUUAGGGUAUUUUCUACCAGUCCUGAGAUCUGUUCUGUGAGAGUUCCCAUUCCUGUAAUUAUGGGUCUUCCAGGAUUACCGGCUUUGUGG